AUUGGGCGGCUGGGUGCCGGCUAGACGGGUCUUUUUUUUUAUCGAUACAAGUUCAUGCUAGCCAUUCGGGCUUUGUAAUACAGUUCACGCCACUUCCGCCCCUCGUCGGUGUCUCGCGGGCCCACCUGGCAGUGACGCUACUGCAGCGGCUCCUAUCUCACGCUGCAACGAUGGAUCGUGUCCGUUGGAUGAAACCGCACCUGCGUUGGAUUCCCAGCAUACCUAGCCGAGGAGCAGAGGCCAACAAAAAACUUCGUUAAACCCCAGCAGAACUCGGGCGCGCGGCGGCGGGCGGCGGGCGUAGGCGGCGGGGCUCGGCGAGCAUGUUCGGCUGCGCCACUAGCGGUGAGAGUGCGGGGCGACGGCCGGCGGCUUGAGCGCGUGACUGAUUCAGCGGCCAAGCGGGGGACGCGCCGGCUCGGGCUGCGGUAAUUCCUCAAUCGCCCCUUUGCUUCGGCGCCCGAGAUUGAGAGCCCCCCACGGCCAGGCGCCGCAGGACCUCACCGGAGUGGGGCGCAUCAGCCAUUUCCCGCGGGGACAGAGCGACAAGGAGAGGUUGCCGGCUGCGAGCGGCGACAGCGGGCUGUCUCCCCUCAAAUCCUCGGCCUACACUGUUAAUCGAAGCUGUGCUAACUGGCUCAGGUUGAUUUUCCAAUAAAAGGAAAUUUUCAUGUAACUUGUCUUAUUAUUUCCUGGGUGGUCCUCACUGUUAACUUUUCAAGGAAGUUUGCUCCAUGAAGUACAAAAGUAGUGGACAUUCUUCCUUCUUCGGCUUAUGCUGUCAGUGUAAGGAGGGGAUUGGCGGCCCUCUUCUAUGCACCGAGCAGUGCUAAGUUUCAUGCGUCAAGCCCUUGUAAAAAGAAGCUACCCUCCGGCAUUGCGACUUUACUCUGUGGCUUGUUGCUUGAAGAGCUUAGAUCAUCAAGAACCUACUGGAAGCUUCUUUUACAGUGAGUAUAAAAACCAGUGUCUUCCUCCCUUGAUCACACUAGCAGUUCGUACAUCAAACUGGAACAAGGCCAGGAAGAUUACCUUCAGGGAGUGUGUGAAGUUAUAUGGGCUAUCCCGGUCAGUUGGGCUGUUUGCAUUGCUUAUGCAACCCUUCUUGCCGCGAAGAAUCAGAGAGAUCCGGUGCUUCAUGCGGAGCAUUGUUGAUUACUGUGGAAGUGCCGGCCCAGAGUUGUUUGAGUUGGCACCUAUUUUGGUCAGUAAUUUGGGUGGGUCAAUGACAUUACUACAAGUUCAUGCUACAGUUAUUCGGGUUUUUGUAGAGUUGUCAAUGUUUGAGGAUGCUCUUCUCACUUACAUUGAGGCCAAGAAGGUUGGAGUUGAGCUGCAGUUGUGCAACUUCCUGCUGAAGUGUUUAGUGGAGAGGAAUCAAAUCAUGUCUGCGAGGAGUUUGUUUGAUGAUAUGAAUACAUCUGGUCCGUCACCAAAUGUGUACUCUUAUUCAGUUUUGAUGAGUGCUUAUACACAUGGAGAUAGGUUAUGCUUGGAGGAAGCAUUUGAGCUUCUAUGUGAAAUGGAAAUGAAAGGCAUGAAACCGAAUGCGGUAACCUAUGGCACUUACCUCUAUGGGCUUUGCCGUACCAGACAUGUGUCAUCUGCAUGGAACUUUCUUCAAAUGCUUUGUCAGAGAGGCUACCCUCGCAACAGUUAUUGUUACAAUGCUGUGAUUCAUGGUUUCUGUCACGAGGAUCAGGUUCAGAAAGCCAUGGAGGUGUUUGAUGGGAUGAAGAAGGGUGGGUUUAUCCCAGAUGCCCAUAGCUAUAGUAUAUUAGUUGAUGGGUUAUGUAAGCAAGGGGAUCUAUUGGCAGGCUAUGACGUGCUUGUCGAAAUGGUAAGAAAUGGGAUUGCUCCUACUCUGGUCAGUUAUACUUCACUUCUGCAUGGUCUUUGCAGAGCUGGAAAGGUUGAAUUGGCAUUUGACCUGUUUAGGAGGCUCAAAGAACAAGGUGUCAAGCAUGACCACAUAGUUUACAGCAUUUUUCUUGAUGGUUGUUGCCAACAUUUGGAUCUAGAGGUUGUCUAUGACCUUUGGAAUAACAUGGUUCAUCAUAAUUUUAUUCCAGAUGCUUACAACUAUACUAGUCUGAUAUAUGCAUUCUGUAGACAUAGUUACCUCAAAGAAGCAUUGGGAGUAUUCGAACUCAUGUUUGAGAAGGGAAUAAGCCCGAACAUUGUGACAUGCACCAUUCUAGUUGACAGUUUCAGCAAAGAAGGGAUGAUCGAUGAAGCCCUCCUAUUCCUGGAUAAAGUACGCCAUCUUGGAAUUGUUCCUAACCUUUGUAUGUACAGAGUUAUCAUAAAUGGUCUGUGCAAGGUCAACAAAUGCGAUGAUGUGUGGGCCUUUUUUGCAGACAUGAUAAAAAGAGGCUGUGUUCCUGAUACUUUCAUUUAUAGUAUUAUUAUUAAUGGCUGUGUGAAAGCACUGAGACUUCAGGAGGCUUUCAGAUUGUUUCAUAAAAUGUUGGAUGAGGGUACAAAACCUAAUAUAUUCACAUAUACUAGCCUAAUAAAUGGUCUUUGCCAUAAUGACAGACUUUCUGAAGCUGUGACAUUGUUUAAGCAUAUGAUUUGGGAAGGAUUGACACCAGACAGGAUUUUGUAUACAUCUCUUAUUGAUUGCUAUUGUAAGCGUUCAAACAUGGAGGCAGCUUUGGAAAUUUUUAGAGAGAUGGAGAAAGGGGGCUUAUCAGCAGAUGCUUUUGUUUAUACUUGUUUAAUUGGGGGCUUCAGUAAAGUGCUUGCGAUGGAUGGCGCACAGUGGUUGAUGGAAGAAAUGAUAAAUAAGGGGCUUACACCUACUGUAGUAACUUAUACAGAUAUCAUAGUUGGAUACUUCAAAACUGGAGAUGAGAAGAAAGCUCAUAUGAUGUAUAACAGUAUGCUCCAGGCAGGCAUUACACCGGAUGACAAGCUGAGUAGUAUAUUGGGAUUUGGCAAUGAUGGAGAUAGUUUUCAGGACUCCCUGGAAGACAAGGAUAUAUCAUAAGUUUUCAUAUUGAGCUCUAUGGGUGAACGACCACUUUCAACAAUUCAUUGGUGGUGGAGAGGGAGAGCAGUUGAAAAACUUGGUAUACAGUGAGCAGCUCUCAGCGCUUGUAGCGAGCUUGUACAGGUGAUACUAGAAAUGCGAGGGCCAUGUGUAUCGAAGUGGCCUAAAGACAUAAGCACGCCUAUCCAUGUAUUCCUUAAGUUUUCUUAUUUGAUAGUCAAUUGACAAGCAUUUUCAUUGAGCUGAAAGCAGAGAGCAGCCGUGAUUGAUCAGAUCUGGCAUACAGCAUGUCAUUACAGACCCAGGAUCAGAUCUAGACUGGUGUCUGUGUGUCAUGUGAGCAGUGUUAGGCAGCAUCUAGGCAAUCUCAGAGAUGUAUAUCAUAACCCACAGUUCACCAGGGUUUCGUGUUACAUGGACUUCUGUGGAUGAACAUAUCAAAGACGAUCUUGAUCUUCAGAGUACUGCUCAAGAGGAAGAGGUGCAGGCUAUUAUACUUGUAGCAGAAAGCAUGGGAGAAGGCACUCGGUGUGCUCUGAAUAGAAUUGUGCAGUUGAGGCUGAGAAACUUGCAUAGGUCCGGAGAUCCUUUUGAUGACAGUCAAAUAAACCAAUUCCCAUAAAGUAUUAUGCUUUUCAUUUCAAGAUAUGGUACUGUAAGUACAGAGGUUCAGUGACAUUUCUUUUGUCAUUGUAACACUUUAUUUUGGUCUGUUAUUUC
This is an RNA transcript of Triticum dicoccoides, 3718 nucleotides long. RefSeq lists it as uncharacterized. The transcript is spliced from 5 exons. The record is from RefSeq and is a predicted model, not a curated record. NCBI's taxonomy places the organism in Eukaryota, Viridiplantae, Streptophyta, Magnoliopsida, Poales, Poaceae.